RNAcentral lists this ribosomal RNA (678 nucleotides) under Wrightoporia austrosinensis. RNAcentral describes it as "eukaryotic LSU rRNA". The stretch from base 240 to 393 matches the Rfam family "5.8S ribosomal RNA". The record is from RNAcentral. Lineage: Eukaryota; Fungi; Basidiomycota; Agaricomycetes; Russulales; Wrightoporiaceae.
UCUUGGUCAUUUAGAGGAAGUAAAAGUCGUAACAAGGUUUCCGUAGGUGAACCUGCGGAAGGAUCAUUAAUGAAUCAAAGGCUGUGGGUCCCCUGUGGACCUGCACUUUUAUCCAUUUUUCACCCCUCUGUGCACAUCGGUGUCGAGCCCUUGAUCCUUCGAGGGCUUGCGCUCCUUUUUAUUCUAUAUACACUCUUUUCGCAUGUCAUGUGAACGAAUCAUAUAAAAUAUAUAUAUACAACUUUCAACAACGGAUCUCUUGGCUCUCGCAUCGAUGAAGAACGCAGCGAAAUGCGAUAAGUAAUGUGAAUUGCAGAAUUCAGUGAAUCAUCGAAUCUUUGAACGCACCUUGCGCCCUUUGGUAUUCCGAAGGGCACGCCUGUUUGAGAGUCGUGAAUUUCUCAACCUUCUCACCUUUUACGGGGUUGUAGAGGGCUUUGGACUUGGAGGGCUGUCAUCGCCACCUUUUUGUUGGAAUUUGACUCCUCUGAAAUGCAUUAGCAAUUUUGGCCCUGUUUCCCCACUGCGGUGUGAUAAUGAAAUNUGUCUUGCGCCGUUGGGUGGGUUUUAAACAAAUGUUUAAUUUAAAAAGGGCCAGGCUUUUAAUUUGUCUCAAUUCUUGACACAAUUGACCUCAAAUCAGGUGGGACUACCCGCUGAACUUAAGCAUAUCAAUAA